RNAcentral lists this unclassified non-coding RNA (460 nucleotides) under Onthophagus taurus. Its description in RNAcentral is "protein PFC0760c-like, transcript variant X2". Lineage: Eukaryota; Metazoa; Arthropoda; Insecta; Coleoptera; Scarabaeidae. The record is from RNAcentral.
GUGAAGCUCAUCACUUAACUGAUUAAUUUUCUUUUAAUGAAAUUAACCAUACAAUUCAACUAAAUUCAACUCAAGAUGCUUCCUGAAAAUGCAACAUUCCUAAACAAUACCUAAACCGGGAAAGAACACGAUUUCUGAAAGAAUUUUACUGGAGCGAAUGCAAGAAGAAGCAGAAAUUAAUCAAUCUGGAUUCCGAAAAGUCAAUUUGGAUUUAGGGAAAGUAAAGCAGCUAUACAACACGCGGCGAGUUUCAUUAGUACGUUGGAUAGUCUAGGAGAUGGUAUUUGAUGUUGACUUCGUCUGGAAAAGUGGGUUGCUCACAAAGAUGAUCAAAGCCAAGCUGGAAGAGAACCUAAUCAAAAUGACGGCUUCUUUUUUUCAAGAAUAAGUACUUCUGAUAUGCUGGAAGCUAUAAAGAAAAAGACGAGGCAUUAAUCCAAUCACUUCGUGACGAUUUAGA